CUCGUGUCGUGAGAUGUUGGGUUAAGUCCGUAACGAGCGCAACCCUUGUCCUUAGUUACCAGCACGUUAUGGUGGGCACUCUAAGGAGACUGCCGGUGACAACCGGAGGAAGGUGGGGAUGACGUCAAGUCAUCAUGGCCCUUACGGCCUGGGCUACACACGUGCUACAAUGGUCGGUACAAAGGGUUGCCAAGCCGCGAGGUGGAGCUAAUCCCAUAAAACCGAUCGUAGUCCGGAUCGCAGUCUGCAACUCGACUGCGUGAAGUCGGAAUCGCUAGUAAUCGUGAAUCAGAAUGUCACGGUGAAUACGUUCCCGGGCCUU
This 322-nucleotide ribosomal RNA is filed under the name uncultured Pseudomonas sp. RNAcentral's name for it is "bacterial SSU rRNA". It matches the Rfam family "Bacterial small subunit ribosomal RNA", at positions 1059 to 1382 of the family's 1533-position model. Lineage: Bacteria; Pseudomonadati; Pseudomonadota; Gammaproteobacteria; Pseudomonadales; Pseudomonadaceae. The record is from RNAcentral.